CCUACGGGGUGCAGCAGUGGGGAAUAUUGGACAAUGGGCGAAAGCCUGAUCCAGCCAUGCCGCGUGUGUGAAGAAGGCCUUCGGGUUGUAAAGCACUUUCAGUGGGGAAGAAAGCCUUGGGGCUAAUACCCUCGAGGAAGGACAUCACCCACAGAAGAAGCACCGGCUAACUCCGUGCCAGCAGCCGCGGUAAUACGGAGGGUGCGAGCGGUAAUCGGAAUUACUGGGCGUAAAGCGCGCGUAGGCGGUCUGAUAAGCCGGUUGUGAAAGCCCCGGGCUCAACCUGGGAACGGCAUCCGGAACUGUCAGGCUAGAGUGCAGGAGAGGAAGGUAGAAUUCCCGGUGUAGCGGUGAAAGGCGUAGAGAUCGGGAGGAAUACCAGUGGCGAAGGCGGCCUUCUGGACUGACACUGACGCUGAGGUGCGAAAGCGUGGGUAGCAAACAGGAUUAGAUACCCCAGUAGUC
This 465-nucleotide ribosomal RNA is filed under the name Vreelandella stevensii. Its description in RNAcentral is "partial 16S ribosomal RNA". It matches the Rfam family "Bacterial small subunit ribosomal RNA", at positions 338 to 795 of the family's 1533-position model. The record is from RNAcentral. Lineage: Bacteria; Pseudomonadati; Pseudomonadota; Gammaproteobacteria; Oceanospirillales; Halomonadaceae.